GGAAAGAAAUCUUAGGGAGCACCGACUCGUAGGAAAGGAGAUGGCCAUUAAUAGAUUACAAAUAUACAUGUAAAGCAUUUUUCGACUAUUCUUGGAUAUAAGAGUUGGCCAGUGAGAUUGCUGUAUUGAUCAGCGACAGCAGCAGCAUUUUGACAUCACCGAAGUGUGUAGUUAUAGUAUGAAAUAUUGAUUGUGUAUCUAUUCGACGUGAUUGGCCCAGACGUGUCGGUAUGGAAAAGGGAACCUUCAGAUAUUUCCAGGGUGAUAUUUGAUCAUUUCAAGUGCAGUUGGGGAUCCUCACCACCUGGAGCUGGUGGUAAUAGGAGCACCAGGGUCCCCUCGCCACCCCUCCACUCCCGCCCCUUGGCCCCCAUGCCCCCCACCCUCUAACCCCCUCUUCCAGAGGUAAGGGCCUCAGUGUGUGUUCUCUCCCCUCCUCUACCCACCCCAGCAGCGGACGCACAACACAAGCGUCUCCCCAGCUUCCGCUUCCUCCGCGCUGCUGCACCACUGCUGGAGUAUUCACGCUCCAGGCUGUUUUCUUUGAGAGACUAUAAAAAUAUGCAAAUGGCUAUUGUUAAGAGCGAAAAGUAGAGGGUAUUUUUCUCCCCGUACGCCGCUUGUGUUCCUGGUGAGUAUAAUGUGCAGAGAGGGCUGAGGGGUUUCCUUCAGUCUUUAGUCUCUCUCUCUCACACACAGACUCACAAAGACAGAGCUGGAGAUGACCAGGUACAGAGGAAGGAUAUUAGAAAUAUUCUCUCAGGAAGCCAUUGUCUCUUUCCAUUGUGGUCAUAUUCGUAAGAGAAUAUGACCACAACUGUGUAAGAGAGAGAGAGAGAGCGAGAAAGAGAAAGAGAGAGAGAAGAGAGAGAGAGAGAGAGAGAGAGAGAGAGAGAGAGAGAGUGAGAGGGGUAUUAGGAUGAAAUCCAAGCUACACCACGGGUAGUAGCAGCUAGGAAGUCAGGCCUUUAUAUAAAGUCCCUGAGCAGAGAGCGAGAGAGCGAGAGAGUGAGUGAGAGAGAGUGAGAGAAGAGAGAGAGAAAGUUAGUAAGGAGACACAUUUGUAAAGCCCUCACGGUCUCAAGCAGGAAGACUUUUUGAAGUGAUUAUGGAGACAGUUCAGAUCAAAGGAUUUGACAAGUCUGAGUGCUCGCCAAAUACGAGCCGGGCUAAUCACACUGAAACCCUCCGUACAAGACACCACUGGUCCCUCCAGCUGCUUUGCAAAUGUAACGUGACACUUAGGGAUAAACAGAUUAUCAGGGGACAUAAGAGAAAAAAAAACCUCUCAGACUAGUAGAAGUGAAAUAGUUUAUUUAAUGAACUUGGAGACUACCAAUGUACUGUAUAUGGUGGUGUUGAAUAAUAAUUCAUUUUCUGUAAAGUCCUAAUGACCUAAUUUACAUUUUUUUUAAUACUAGUUCUAUGUUACAUGAGGGAAGGGUAGUUGUUAUGUAGGAUGAUAUUUAGCUUUUUCUAUUUUUUUUUGUAUAAUCCAUAGGCCUAAUCUUCCAAACACCUCAAGACAUUUUGAAACUGUCUCUCCUGCAUUCAUUCUCUUUUAAAUGUUGUCAUAAUGUGAUAUCAUAAAUAUAGAGUAAAUUCAUAUGUACAAUUUCCCUUUAUUUCCCUCUUACUUUCACAAAAAUAUUUUAUUUGAUCCUAUUUUCAGUUGUAUCUUAUUCUGCAUUCUAUCAUGAUCAAGAUAAUGUAGAAAUCACAUUUCAAAAGAAUUUACAAUUGGCUGAGAUAUUUCGGCACAAAGUGUGUACCUGUAAAUUAAAUAAUGCAUAUGUAAAUAUGUACCACGCAAACCCAAUAAACAGAACAACCAAACCGUAUGUGUCUCUCUUGUGUCAUGUCACUGGUGACCAGCCGUGUCAUUCCCCAGUGAUCCACUGAGUCCGCUGGGCCAGGGAGUGUCCAGCUGUCCAGUUGUCCAACCAGGGGCCCUCUCCUCUGGGUGACAUCCAUCCCCA
This 1979-nucleotide long non-coding RNA is filed under the name Salmo salar (Atlantic salmon). Its description in RNAcentral is "lncRNA (ENSSSAG00000090917.1)". Lineage: Eukaryota; Metazoa; Chordata; Actinopteri; Salmoniformes; Salmonidae. The record is from RNAcentral.